RNAcentral lists this long non-coding RNA (249 nucleotides) under Lathyrus oleraceus (garden pea). RNAcentral's name for it is "Pisum sativum (pea) long non-coding RNA (PSAT_LNC028580)". The record is from RNAcentral. Lineage: Eukaryota; Viridiplantae; Streptophyta; Magnoliopsida; Fabales; Fabaceae.
CGGUCUUCAAAUUUCCAAACUCCAAAUCAAAAUCAAUUAACUUCAAAAUCUACAUAUAAACCCUAAAUAUUCAAAGUGAAAUUAAAUAGCCAUGAAACAUAGUUUCAAAUAAUUAUCAUGAGAUUAUUGAUAAAUGCAACACGAGGAACACAAUUCUAACAAGAAAAUCAAGAAAAGAACAGAGGCUAACCUUGUCGGAGCUAGUCCGACGUUCUGCAACUUUCGGCAUUGUCUCAGGUAAGCUUUCUU